RNAcentral lists this ribosomal RNA (253 nucleotides) under uncultured bacterium. RNAcentral's name for it is "partial 16S ribosomal RNA". It matches the Rfam family "Bacterial small subunit ribosomal RNA", at positions 524 to 776 of the family's 1533-position model. The record is from RNAcentral.
UACGGAGGGGGCUAGCGUUGUUCGGAAUUACUGGGCGUAAAGCGCGCGUAGGCGGCUUUGUAAGUUAGAGGUGAAAGCCCGGAGCUCAACUCCGGAACUGCCUUUAAAACUGCAUCGCUUGAAUCAUGGAGAGGUGAGUGGAAUUCCGAGUGUAGAGGUGAAAUUCGUAGAUAUUCGCAAGAACACCAGUGGCGAAGGCGGCUCACUGGCCCGAUACUGACGCUGAGGCACGAAAGCGUGGGGAGCAAACAGG